GUAGGAUCCGAGCGUUAUCCGAAUUUACUGGGCGUAAAGCGCGUGUAGGCGGCCGGGUAAGUUGGACGUGAAAGCUCCUGGCUCAACUAGGAGAGGUCGUUCAAAACUGCCUGGCUAGAGGGCGACAGAGGGAGGUGGAAUUCCCGGUGUAGUGGUGAAAUGCGUAGAUAUCGGGAGGAACACCAGUGGCGAAGGCGGCCUCCUGGGUCGCACCUGACGCUCAGACGCGAAAGCUAGGGGAGCGAACGGGGAUUAGAUACCCCGGUAGUCCUAGCUGUAAACGAUGUGGACUUGGCGUUGGUGGGGUCAAAUCCAUCAGUGCCGGAGCUAACGCGAUAAGUCCACCGCCUGGGGACUACGACCGCAAGGUUA
RNAcentral lists this ribosomal RNA (372 nucleotides) under uncultured organism. Its description in RNAcentral is "partial 16S ribosomal RNA". It matches the Rfam family "Bacterial small subunit ribosomal RNA", at positions 527 to 896 of the family's 1533-position model. The record is from RNAcentral.